UAGAGACAGAGUUUCACCAUGUUGCCCAGGCUGGUCUGGAACUCCUGGGCUCAAGCAAUCCCCUCACCUCAGCCUGCCAAAGUGCUGGGAUUAUAGGCAUGAGCCACUACAUCCGGCCACAUCUUUCAUUGUUAGAAUCAUCUAUGAUGUGUCUGCAUUUUUAAGAUCACACUGUAUUUUAAAACCUAGUUUGCACAUUUGUGAUUCUAGAGAGAGACGACGACGAAGAAGCAGGAGUGGCACAAGAUCUCCUAAAAAGCCUCGGUCUCCUAAAAGAAAAUUGUCUCGCUCACCAUCCCCUAGGAGACAUAAAAAGGAGAAGAAGAAAGAUAAAGACAAAGAAAGAAGUAGGGAUGAAAGAGAACGAUCAACAAGCAAGAAGAAGAAGAGUAAAGAUAAGGAAAAGGACCGGGAAAGAAAAUCAGAGAGUGAUAAAGAUGUAAAACAGGUUACACGGGAUUAUGAUGAAGAGGAACAGGGGUAUGACAGUGAGAAAGAGAAAAAAGAAGAGAAGAAACCAAUAGAAACAGGUUCCCCUAAAACAAAGGAAUGUUCUGUGGAAAAGGGAACUGGUGAUUCACUAAGAGAAUCCAAAGUGAAUGGGGAUGAUCAUCAUGAAGAAGACAUGGAUAUGAGUGACUGAAUAUUGCCUCUGAGGGAAUCCAACUGUAUACCUGCAUCAGUGUCAUUCCUUUGUGUGAUUUCUUAAUGCUGUAUUUGUUCAUCUCAAACCUAGAUGUAUACAGCUCUGAGUUAUAAAUGGUUAUAAAGCUCCUGUUACUGA
RNAcentral lists this small RNA (784 nucleotides) under Pan troglodytes (chimpanzee). Its description in RNAcentral is "processed transcript". Lineage: Eukaryota; Metazoa; Chordata; Mammalia; Primates; Hominidae. The record is from RNAcentral.